AAAGGAAUCGUUCUGUGCUUGCUUUGAAUUGGAACAACACAGAGAAGAUUAGCAUGGCCCCUGCGCAAGCAUGACAUGCAAAUUUGUGAAACGUUCCAUGUUUAA
Small nuclear RNA from Molossus molossus (Pallas's mastiff bat), 105 nucleotides. The record is from RefSeq and is a predicted model, not a curated record. Lineage: Eukaryota; Metazoa; Chordata; Mammalia; Chiroptera; Molossidae.